AGGUCUUGACAUCCCACUGCCCGGUAUAGAGAUAUACCUUUCCCUUCGGGGACAGUGGUGACAGGUGGUGCAUGGUUGUCGUCAGCUCGUGUCGUGAGAUGUUGGGUUAAGUCCCGCAACGAGCGCAACCCUUGAUCUUAGUUGCCAGCAUUUAGUUGGGCACUCUAAGGUGACUGCCGGUGACAAACCGGAGGAAGGUGGGGAUGACGUAAGCCUAUCGAGA
RNAcentral lists this unclassified non-coding RNA (223 nucleotides) under Bacillus sp. (in: firmicutes). RNAcentral describes it as "Bacillus sp. (in: Bacteria) contains 16S-23S intergenic spacer region". It matches the Rfam family "Bacterial small subunit ribosomal RNA", at positions 977 to 1198 of the family's 1533-position model. Lineage: Bacteria; Bacillati; Bacillota; Bacilli; Caryophanales; Bacillaceae. The record is from RNAcentral.